UUGAACUCCUGGCCUCAAGGGAUCUUCCCCCCUUGGCCUUCCAAAGUGCUGGGAUUACAGGCUGAGCCAUGGCCCCUGGCCCUGAUCCACUUUUCUAAUAUAUGGCUUUUUAAUUUGAAAAACUGAUUUCCUUAUACACUGUGAAACAGCAUUUCUAUAGCUCCCUGGACUAUGCUAGUUCCCUCACCCAAUGUCUCCACUUCUAAAGUCCUCAGUUACUGUGAAACUCAUUUAUCUUUCUGCAACAUUAAUUUUGAGAAAGUUGAAGUGAGCAAAACUUCCUGGAAUCUGAAAAGAAGAUCCAUUGUCCCCGUACCAGGCUCACAAUCAGCCAAAGGGGGAAGUAGAUUUUCCUGUCUGUACAAAAGAAGGUAAUUAGAAUUUUGGUUGUAAUAAAUUAUCUAUAGUCUCCUCUUUGAAGCUGUUUUAGAGAAUGUUCCUGUAGGCCAGGGUCUUAGAAAGUUUCUUUUGAACGCCUUGACCAUAUUCAGGGCUCCUGGGCCCCUCAUCAUGAGAGAAGUAUUGCUAAAACGGCUUCUGACCAGCAGUAACUAAAUACCAGAGGAAGCCCCACCUCCAAAGCCUUAUGGCUUGUCUGCAGACAGCCAUGAAAUCUUAGUUUGGUGGAAAUGACAUCAGAUCUCUUCACUGUUAACUGUGCUUUGUGCCAUAGAAUAAAGUGAUUCAGUUGUUCAAUUAUUAUAAAAAGUCACUUGCUGGCCAGGCGCGGUGCCUCACGCCUGUAAUCCCAGCACUUUGGUAGGCCGAGGAGGGUAGAUCACCUGAGGUCAGGAGUUCAAGACCAGCCUGGUCAACAUGGUGAAACGCCAUCUCUACUAAAAAUACAAAAAUUAGCCGGGCGUGGCAGUGCAUGCCUGUAGUCCCACCUCCUCAGGAGACUGAGGCAGGAGAAUUGCUGGAACCCGGGAGGCGAAGACUGCAGUGAGCCGAGAUCGCGCCACUGCCCUCCAGCCUGGGCGACAGAGCGAGACUCUCAAAAAAAAAAAAAAAAGUAACUUGGUGCUUAUUAUGUGUCAAGUGCUAUAGAUGCCAAAAUGAGGAGAGGACAUGCUAUUGUCAAUUUUAGCCUAGCACUUAAAUAGCAGAUCUAGUAUCAGUGCUGGUCAGUCCAGGUCAGCAUAGAAGGCAGUCUGAGCUGAAAGCAGAUGGAGGAGGGAAAGCUGCUCAGGAAAUGGUAUUGAAAUCCCAAAGCAGUCCCUAUGGGUGGUAGGGAGGAGACAUUCUAGGAAGGGGGAACAUCAUGAGCACAAACUCAGAGGUGUGAUAGAACAUAGCACUGGAAUGGAAUGGCAAUCAAUCCAAUCAAGGAAAGAGGAGGGGCAGGUAGCAAAGGUGGGUUGAUGUCAGAUUACAAAGUCCAUGUGUAAUUAGACUAAUGAAUUCAUGCCCCUGAAGAAUAUUCCACAGAGAAGUGACAUGAUUUAUUUUGUUUUAUUUUUUUGAGACAGAGGCUGGAGUGCAAUGGCGCAAUCUCAGCUCACUGCAACCUCUGCCUCUCAGGUUCGAGUGAUUCUUGUGCCUCAGCCUCCCAAAUAGCUGGGAUUCAGGCGUGCACCGACAUGCCCAGCUAAUUUUUUGUAUUUUUAGUAGAUGGGAUUUCGCCAUGUUGGCUAGGCUGGAUUAAUUUGCAUUUUGGAAAGCAACUCUGGUUUCAGUGUACAAGAGAUUUGAACAGGAGAUUAACUAGGAAGCUAAAGUAAUAGUUAUGAAAGGUGAUGAGAGCCUGAAAUUAGGUCAGUGUCUAUGAGAACAAAGGGGAUGGAUUUCAGAAACGUUUCUAAAUCAUAAAUGACUGAACCAGAAGAACUGAAGCUGAUGUCAGAUUUCUCGCUUGGGUGAUGAGGAACAAGGCAGGAAGAGCAGCAAUGAGGAUAGAGGUGGAAGGGCAGCUCAGGAAUUUCCCUGGAGUUUUCCCAUCUUGAGACUUCGGUCUUGGAAGACAGAAUGGCUGUGACAUAAUGUGGACUUUUUACUUCCACCUCUAGGAAAGCGUUCUUUGGAACACCUUUGCUGAGUCUCUCUCUCCUCCGCUCAAGGAGGAAGAAGGCAUUUUCACACAAGGCUGGCCAGAUGGGAAGAAUCUUCAGCUUCAGCUUCAGCUUGGCCUCAUUCAUUUGAAAAUAAAAUGUUUACAUGAGGCCGCGCCUGUGUCCAGCUGAAAGUGGGUCCUUCAGAGCGUGUGGGGGAUUCUCUGCCGGCUUGAUGGGCUAGCUCCUCUAAGCCGGCUGCUGGAGACAUCACCGGCUGAGGGACUCCUGCAAACGUUCAUACAUGAUUUGAUCCUGAAAGGAGGGAGAACACAGAAUACAGAGACCGUCACUGCUUGUUUUGGGCUGAAUGGUGCCCCCCAAAAUUCACAUGCUGCAGUCCGCACCCGCAGGACCUCAGAAUGUGAUUGUAACUGGAGAGAGGGUCUUUAUAGAGGAGACUGGAUUAAAAUGAGGUCAUACAGGUAGACUCUUAUCCAAUAUGACUGCUCUCCUUACAAAAAGAGGGGAUUAGGGCACAGGAGGGAAGAGCAUGUGCGCAGAGGGAAAAGCACAUGCAGGCGCUGGGAGAAGACAGCCAUCAGUGAGGACAAAGGCUCCAGAAGAACCAAUCCUGCCCAACACUCUCCAGAACUGUGAGAAAAUAAAUUUUCCACUUUUUAAGCCACCCAGUCUGUGGUACUUUGUCAUAGUAGCUCCUGCUGACUAACUUACUGUUGAAGAGAGGUGAUAUUUUACCUUCCUGCAUCUAAAUCCUAAUCUAAAUCCUACACAUGCUCCUUUCCACAGGGGACUCCAUGACAUUCACAAUCGUUGACUCAAGUUUUCCUAAAAAAUCAGGUCAAGAGUCUUAUGUCUAUCUAAUUAGUGAAGAAAGCACAAUUCUAAACUACACUGAAUCCAGAUGGAAAGGAGGCAAAGGCAGAAGCUUCUUUUUUUGUUUUUUGAAACGGAGUCUCACUCUGUCGCCCAGGCUGGAAUGCAGCGGUGCAAUCUCGGCUCACUGCAAUCUCUGCCUCCUGGGUUCAAGGGAUUCCCCUGCCUCGGCCUCCUGAGUAGCUGGAACUACAGGUGCGCACCACUACGCCCGGCAAAUUUUUUGCAUUUUAGUAGAGAUGGGGUUUCACCAUGUUGGCCAGGAUGGUCUCAAACUCCUGACCUCAUGAUCCACCCGCCUCGGCCUCUCAAAGUGCUGGGAUUACAGGUGUGAGCCACUGCGCCAGGCCGGGAAAGUAGAAGCUUCUUACACUACAUUAACAUUCAUAAGAAACUGCCAGAAUGGGCCGGGCGCGGUGGCUCACACCUGUAAUCCCAGCACUUUGGGAGGCUGAGAUGGGUGGAUCACGAGGUCAGGAGAUCGAGACCAUCCUGGCUAACAUGGUGAAACCCUGUCUCUACAAAAAUACAAAAAAAUUAGCUGGGCAUGGUGGCGGGCGCCUGUAGUCCCAGCUACUCGGGAGGCUGAGGCAGGAGAAUGGUGUGAACCUGGGAGGCGGAGCUUGCAGUGAGCCGAGAUCGCGCCAUUGCGACAGAG
Molecule: long non-coding RNA, 3543 nt
Filed under: Homo sapiens (human)
Lineage: Eukaryota; Metazoa; Chordata; Mammalia; Primates; Hominidae
Description: HSALNT0022819
Source: RNAcentral